CUGGAUGUGGCGCAAUGGGAGCGCGCCGGCUCUGGGAGCCGGGGGUUGGGAGUUCGAGUCUCUCCAUCCAGA
Molecule: transfer RNA, 72 nt
Filed under: Actinomycetota bacterium
Lineage: Bacteria; Bacillati; Actinomycetota
Description: tRNA-Pro
Rfam family: tRNA
About the family: Transfer RNA (tRNA) molecules are approximately 80 nucleotides in length. Their secondary structure includes four short double-helical elements and three loops (D, anti-codon, and T loops).
Source: RNAcentral